UGUCAAAUCAUCAUGCCCCUUAUGUUCUGGGCUACACACGUACUACAAUGGGAAUUACAACGGGAAGCCAAGCAGCGAUGUGGAGCAAAUCCCUAAAAAGUUUCCUCAGUUCGGAUAGAAGUCUGAAACUCGGCUUCUUGAAGCUGGAAUUGCUAGUAAUCGCGAAUCAGCAUGUCGCGGUGAAUACGUUCCCGGGCCUU
Molecule: ribosomal RNA, 200 nt
Filed under: uncultured prokaryote
Description: partial 16S ribosomal RNA
Rfam family: Bacterial small subunit ribosomal RNA
Source: RNAcentral